This 478-nucleotide ribosomal RNA is filed under the name uncultured bacterium. Its description in RNAcentral is "partial 16S ribosomal RNA". It matches the Rfam family "Bacterial small subunit ribosomal RNA", at positions 28 to 523 of the family's 1533-position model. The record is from RNAcentral.
GACGAACGCUGGCGGCGUGCUUAACACAUGCAAGUCGAACGGUAAGGCCCUUCGGGGUACACGAGUGGCGGACGGGUGAGUCACACGUGGGUGAUCUACCCUGCACUUCGGGAUAAGCCUGGGAAACUGGGUCUAAUACCGGUGAGGACCCCUGCCUGCAUUGGUGGUUGGGGAAAGCUAUUGCGGUUUGGGAUGGGCCCGCGGCCUAUAAGCUUGUUGGUGGGGUGAUGGCCUACCAAGGAGACGACGGGUAGGCGGCCUGAGAGGGUGACCGGCCACACUGGGACUGAGAUACGGCCCAGACUCCUACGGGAGGCAGCAGUGGGGAAUAUUGCACAAUGGGCGCAAGCCUGAUGCAGCGACGCCGCGUGAGGGAUGACGGCCUUCAGGUUGUAAACCUCUUUCAGCACCGACGAAGCGCAAGUGACGGUAGGUGCAGAAGAAGGACCGGCCAACUACGUGCCAGCAGCCGCGGUAA